This 490-nucleotide ribosomal RNA is filed under the name uncultured bacterium. Its description in RNAcentral is "partial 16S ribosomal RNA". It matches the Rfam family "Bacterial small subunit ribosomal RNA", at positions 30 to 507 of the family's 1533-position model. The record is from RNAcentral.
AUUGAACGCUGGCGGCAGGCCUAACACAUGCAAGUCGAACGGUAACAGGAAGCAGCUUGCUGCUUCGCUGACGAGUGGCGGACGGGUGAGUAAUGUCUGGGAAGCUGCCUGAUGGAGGGGGAUAACUACUGGAAACGGUAGCUAAUACCGCAUAAUGUCGCAAGACCAAAGAGGGGGACCUUCGGGCCUCUUGCCAUCGGAUGUGCCCAGAUGGGAUUAGCUUGUUGGUGGGGUAACGGCUCACCAAGGCGACGAUCCCUAGCUGGUCUGAGAGGAUGACCAGCCACACUGGGACUGAGACACGGUCCAGACUCCUACGGGAGGCAGCAGUGUGGAAUAUUGCACAAUGGGCGCGAGCCUGAUGCAGCCAUGCCGCGUGUAUGAAGAAGGCCUUCGGGUUGUAAAGUACUUUCAGCGGGGAGGAAGGGAGUAAAGUUAAUACCUUUGCUCAUUGACGUUACCCGCAGAAGAAGCACCGGCUAACUCCGUG